Molecule: ribosomal RNA, 492 nt
Filed under: uncultured bacterium
Lineage: Bacteria
Description: partial 16S ribosomal RNA
Rfam family: Bacterial small subunit ribosomal RNA
Source: RNAcentral
AGUGAACGCUGGCGGUAGGCCUAACACAUGCAAGUCGAACGGCAGCACAGUAAGAGCUUGCUCUUACGGGUGGCGAGUGGCGGACGGGUGAGGAAUACAUCGGAAUCUACUUUUUCGUGGGGGAUAACGUAGGGAAACUUACGCUAAUACCGCAUACGAUCUACGGGUGAAAGCAGGGGAUCUUCGGACCUUGCGCGAUUGAAUGAGCCGAUGUCGGAUUAGCUAGUUGGCGGGGUAAAGGCCCACCAAGGCGACGAUCCGUAGCUGGUCUGAGAGGAUGAUCAGCCACACUGGAACUGAGACACGGUCCAGACUCCUACGGGAGGCAGCAGUGGGGAAUAUUGGACAAUGGGCGCAAGCCUGAUCCAGCCAUACCGCGUGAGUGAAGAAGGCCUUCGGGUUGUAAAGCCCUUUUGUUGGGAAAGAAAAGCAGCAGGUUAAUACCCCGCUGUUCUGACGGUACCCAAAGAAUAAGCACCGGCUAACUUCGUG